GCUUGGGUGGCUCAGUUGGUUGAGCGUCUGACUUCAGCUCAGGUCAUGAUCUGAGCUGGUCAGGUUCAUGGGUUCAAGCCCCACAUCAGGCU
RNAcentral lists this transfer RNA (92 nucleotides) under Felis catus (domestic cat). It matches the Rfam family "tRNA". Rfam says of the family: Transfer RNA (tRNA) molecules are approximately 80 nucleotides in length. Their secondary structure includes four short double-helical elements and three loops (D, anti-codon, and T loops). Further hydrogen bonds mediate the characteristic L-shaped molecular structure. tRNAs have two regions of fundamental functional importance: the anti-codon, which is responsible for specific mRNA codon recognition, and the 3' end, to which the tRNAs corresponding amino acid is attached (by aminoacyl-tRNA synthetases). tRNAs cope with the degeneracy of the genetic code in two manners: having more than one tRNA (with a specific anti-codon) for a particular amino acid; and 'wobble' base-pairing, i.e. permitting non-standard base-pairing at the 3rd anti-codon position. Lineage: Eukaryota; Metazoa; Chordata; Mammalia; Carnivora; Felidae. RNAcentral also lists the same sequence under 1 other name. The record is from Rfam by way of RNAcentral.